UACGAACUGUGCGAACGUUAUUCGGAAUCACUGGGCUUACAGGGUGCGUAGGCGGCUUUUCAGGUCAGGUGUGAAAGCCCCCGGCUCAACCGGGGAACUGCGCUUGAAACCGAAAGGCUCGAGUCAGCUAGAGGUACACGGAACUUCCAGUGGAGCGGUGAAAUGUGUUGAUAUUGGAAGGAACACCGGAGGCGAAAGCGCUCUGCUGGACCUUAACUGACACUGAGGGACGAAAGCUAGGGGAGCGAAUGGG
This 253-nucleotide ribosomal RNA is filed under the name uncultured bacterium. RNAcentral describes it as "partial 16S ribosomal RNA". It matches the Rfam family "Bacterial small subunit ribosomal RNA", at positions 524 to 776 of the family's 1533-position model. The record is from RNAcentral.